UACGUAGGUGGCAAGCGUUGUCCGGAUUUAUUGGGUUUAAAGGGUGCGUAGGCGGCCCCAUAAGUCAGUGCUGAAAUACUCUAGCUUAACUAGAGGGGUGGCAUUGAUACUGCGGGGCUUGAGUGGAGUCGAGGUAGGCGGAAUUGACGGUGUAGCGGUGAAAUGCUUAGAUAUCGUCAAGAACACCGAUAGUGUAGACAGCUUACUAGGCUUCAACUGACGCUGAGGCACGAAAGUGUGGGGAUCAAACAGG
RNAcentral lists this ribosomal RNA (253 nucleotides) under uncultured bacterium. Its description in RNAcentral is "partial 16S ribosomal RNA". It matches the Rfam family "Bacterial small subunit ribosomal RNA", at positions 524 to 776 of the family's 1533-position model. The record is from RNAcentral.